AUUACUAAAGAACAAUUGUACAUGUACACAAAGAGACGUUAUCGGUACUAAAUCCAAGACGCAACCUAAUAACCGAUUCAAUCAGAUGUCAUUAUUAUGGACAACAACCUGAUGAAGCGGAUUAUUUGUGUUGCGGUUGAGUUUCGAACCCACAACUGGCAAUUCAAUAAUUCAAUGUGAAGUCUAGACACUGCGCUAUUGAGUUUUUAAAAAAAGGUUG
Molecule: long non-coding RNA, 220 nt
Organism: Bradysia coprophila
Lineage: Eukaryota; Metazoa; Arthropoda; Insecta; Diptera; Sciaridae
Source: RefSeq, a predicted model, not a curated record